Molecule: small RNA, 87 nt
Filed under: Olleya namhaensis
Lineage: Bacteria; Pseudomonadati; Bacteroidota; Flavobacteriia; Flavobacteriales; Flavobacteriaceae
Description: Flavo-1 RNA
Rfam family: Flavo-1 RNA
Source: Rfam by way of RNAcentral
GAUGAGCUGCGUUAGCGGUUGCAGUGGUAUCCUUUUUUUGCUGCCACUUAUGGCAAAAAAAGAUUUUAACGGAAAACGCGACCCUUG